UACGUAGGUGGCAAGCGUUUGUCCGGAAUUAUUGGGCGUAAAGCGCGCGCAGGCGGCUUCUUAAGUCUGAUGUGAAAUCUCGGGGCUCAACCCCGAGCGGCCAUUGGAAACUGGGAGCUUGAGUACAGAAGAGGAGAGUGGAGUUCCACGUGUAGCGGUGAAAUGCGUAGAUAUGUGGAGGAACACCAGUGGCGAAGGCGACUCUCUGGUCUGUAACUGACGCUGAGGCGCGAAAGCGUGGGGAGCAAACAGG
Molecule: ribosomal RNA, 253 nt
Filed under: uncultured bacterium
Lineage: Bacteria
Description: partial 16S ribosomal RNA
Rfam family: Bacterial small subunit ribosomal RNA
Source: RNAcentral